GAGCUUAUGAUGAUAGAAUAACAUCUUAGCGGAUUUCAAUGAGACCUUAUUGGUCUAUGAUUUCCUCAUUGUUACACACACUGAAGCUU
This 89-nucleotide small nucleolar RNA is filed under the name Amborella trichopoda. RNAcentral describes it as "snoRNA snoR11". It matches the Rfam family "Small nucleolar RNA R11/Z151". Rfam says of the family: snoR11/Z151 is a member of the C/D class of snoRNA which contain the C (UGAUGA) and D (CUGA) box motifs. Lineage: Eukaryota; Viridiplantae; Streptophyta; Magnoliopsida; Amborellales; Amborellaceae. The record is from Rfam by way of RNAcentral.